Molecule: long non-coding RNA, 755 nt
Organism: Lingula anatina
Lineage: Eukaryota; Metazoa; Brachiopoda; Lingulata; Lingulida; Lingulidae
Source: RefSeq, a predicted model, not a curated record
UUUCCGGUAGAUUUGAGAACCGAGCAGGGAAAGAAAGGCAGGUAGAUAUGAGUCGGCACGCUAAGUUUAUAGCAAGAACGGUUUUAUGUGAACCUGGGAAAGUAGAGCAAGGGUUUAUGAAGUUAAGGAAAAUACUUGUAGUAGAUGGAAUAGAAAGGGACCUCCAGAAGCAAAAGCACAGCAUGAAGCCAUAUAUUGCCAAGGCAAAAAAAGUACAAGCAGUAAAAUCAAGAAUAAUAAGGAAAGAAAUGAAAAUAAAAACAGAUUUUCUUACAUCUUUGAAAAAUAGGAGGAAUCCAUUUCCAAGAUAGCACAGAAGAGGAUAUGAAGGAAAUAAGGACACAUUUUCAAUGAUUGAAACUGUGAACUUCAAAUAUGCAGACUGUCAGUUUGAAUUAUUUGAUCGAACUUCAAAACUGCAAAGAAAAGCAGUAUUGACCCCUGAACUGAAAGUACGUUCAGUUUGUAUACCUCUACCAAAAAAGACGGUUUCUUUGCACUUUGACCUAGGUGUGUAACUCAGUUUAUGGUUUGCAGUACAUAUUGACUGCCUUAUAAAAGCACAACUAUACGAACUGAAAGAACAUUAGAUUAAUUCAUGUACUGUCUUUAAGGAAAAAAUAGUUUCUUGGACAUUUAAUUCACACAUUAAACCACAGCUUUUAUAAAUUCUUUAUUUUUAAAACAAAGAUUUUUACAAAAGCUCGCAUACUAGAGUACAAGGAAGAAAUAAAAAAAUAAUAAGUGCACUACAA